RNAcentral lists this ribosomal RNA (253 nucleotides) under uncultured bacterium. RNAcentral's name for it is "partial 16S ribosomal RNA". It matches the Rfam family "Bacterial small subunit ribosomal RNA", at positions 524 to 776 of the family's 1533-position model. The record is from RNAcentral.
UACGUAGGGAGCAAGCGUUGUCCGGAAUCAUUGGGCGUAAAGCGCGCGUAGGUGGCCCUGUAAGUCCGUUGUGAAAGUCAAAGGCUCAACCUUUGAAAGCCGAUGGAUACUGCAGGACUAGAGUACGGAAGAGGCGAGUGGAAUUCCUGGUGUAGCGGUGGAAUGCGCAGAUAUCAGGAGGAACACCGAUGGCGAAGGCAAUCCCCUGGGCCUGCACUGACGCUCAUGCACGAAAGCGUGGGGAGCAAACAGG